GGCCCCAUCGUCUAGCGGCCUAGGACACUGCCCUCUCAAGGCAGGAACAGGGGUUCGAGUCCCCUUGGGGUCA
Molecule: transfer RNA, 73 nt
Filed under: Gemmataceae bacterium
Lineage: Bacteria; Pseudomonadati; Planctomycetota; Planctomycetia; Gemmatales; Gemmataceae
Description: tRNA-Glu
Rfam family: tRNA
About the family: Transfer RNA (tRNA) molecules are approximately 80 nucleotides in length. Their secondary structure includes four short double-helical elements and three loops (D, anti-codon, and T loops).
Source: RNAcentral